AGAGCUCAAAUUUAAAAUCUGGCGGUCGCUUGGCCGUCCGAGUUGUAAGCUAGAGAAGUGCCAUCCGCGCUGGGGCCAUGUACAAGUCUCCUGGAACGGAGCGUCAUAGAGGGUGAGAAUCCCGUCUCUGACAUGGACCUCCCAGGGCAUCGCGAUGGCGCUCUCAAGGAGUCGAGUUGUUUGGGAAUGCAGCUCCAAAUGGGUGGUAAAUUCCAUCUAAAGCUAAACAUUGGCGAGAGACCGAUAGCGAA
This 251-nucleotide ribosomal RNA is filed under the name Pluteaceae sp. 1 CRJH-2017. RNAcentral describes it as "partial 28S ribosomal RNA". It matches the Rfam family "Eukaryotic large subunit ribosomal RNA", at positions 104 to 344 of the family's 3401-position model. Lineage: Eukaryota; Fungi; Basidiomycota; Agaricomycetes; Agaricales; Pluteaceae. The record is from RNAcentral.